RNAcentral lists this long non-coding RNA (1851 nucleotides) under Olea europaea subsp. europaea. The record is from RNAcentral. Lineage: Eukaryota; Viridiplantae; Streptophyta; Magnoliopsida; Lamiales; Oleaceae.
GUAACUCUCACAAUUGUAUUACAAUCCCGCUCUAUGUACUCGUUUCUUUUCCUGUUGGUUGGCACUAUGACCUGGCAAAAGAAGAAAAAAUAAAAAUAAGGAAACAGGUCAAUUGUUUGAACAGGCCCAAAACAAAAGCAAACCGUUGCCUCUUUUUCCCUUUCAUUCUCCCACCCCCAAACACAGAGAAACCCCUCAUAGGCGAAACAAUAGUUCGAGGACAACGAAGCUGCACUCCUCCGUCUUGACCUUAUUAAGAAGCUCGUGGUUGAUGUUGUGAUCAUCCGUCGAUCAGUCGAACGGUGGGUAAAUCUUUUAUUUUUUCUCAGUUCCAUGUUUGAAACGGAAGAUUGAUUUUUAUUUAUUUAUUUAUUUACUUUUGUUUUGUUUGGAAUUCUUUGUUUCUUCCAUACUUAUAUACUGCAACUUUUAAUUUGAUGAGUUGCUUUGAUUUAUGAGUUAUUUUUGGGAAUCCAUGAGUGUUGAAUUUGGUGAUUUAUCAUUUUGAUUUAAUUAGUAAGGAAGGCGAUUUUUUCCCUUUUGGAAGUUUCCUUAUUGUUUCAAUUCGGUCUCCUUCCCUUUUUAAUGAACGAGUAAAUAAUGUUUUCAAGUAGUAGAAAUUUUUGUCAAACGCUGUUGGAAGGAAAAAAUGAAUGGAUUAUGAGAAAUGAUAAUUUGUGGAUUUUACAUUGGUGAGUGGUUGUUGUCUAAUGUAGCACAACCGGUCUUUCGCUUGUAUGUAGGAUGGUAGGAAAGAAUUUUGGAUGUUAUCAUAGCUGUAGAGAGAAGGUGCACUUCUUCGCUAAUUGCCCAAAGAAACGACAAUGCUCAUGGUGUAAAAUUGGAUAUGUGAAGUGCUUUGAGGUUGAGAGGGAAAUGAAGAAUAAGAGAAAAUUGUUCAAUUGCUGAACUGCUGACUGUAAAUACUGGGAAUGGGUUGACGUGGGAGAAUCGAGUAGCGGAUUGAGUACUAUUGUUGUUGACUCGAAUAAUCAGGUGGCACUUGAAGAAGUCCAGCAGUUCUCUAUGAUGUUCCAGUCCCUUUGUUGGGUAACCGAAGAACAAAAUAUUGAAAUUUCUUUGAACGUGACAAUAAGGAAGGCCAAUGGAAGUGCGGGAGUGGAUAAGAAAGGGAAGGGCCGGCAAGAACACGAUCUUUUUCUUAGGAUGCAUCGCUACCACCUUUGAUGUGCAAUAUGUGUUGUGUUAUGUGGAGUUGAUGUGUAAUAUGUGUUAUGUUGUGUGAACAAAUCAUUGUAAUGUACUCGCAUUUCAUGUUUCAACAGUUAUGUGAAUGAUGUUGGUGUGAAUUUUAGUGGAUUGUAGUUUGUUUUCUUCAUUAUGUUACUGGAAUUGAAUAUGAAAUUUCAAUUAUGUACCAGCAAUUUUUCUUUAACAAAACUUCAAUAUUCGAAGCCUGCAAACAUAUAGUAGAAUUGAUGAUCAACAUAUUCAAUAAAUAUAGUAGAAUUGUAUACGGCAACAUCAUGUCAUAAGAACAUAGAUACAAAAUAUUGUCCCGCCAAAAUAACAUUAGGAUCUCUUCUUCUUCUCCUUGUCUAACUACUACACAUUUCCUUUUACCAACACAACUUUACCAGCCUUUCGCUUACCGCCAAAAUCAAUUGAAAAUGCCCAAACUCAACAUCUCCAAUCUUGAGGAGGGUAUGCAGUUGGAGUCUGUGAAAUGGUAGUUUAACAAUGUAAGCAAAAAACUUGCACCCAACAUGUAAAAAUAGUGAUAAAUAGAUUGCAAGGUAUACCAUAGUUCGUUUGGCAGACAAGAUUGUUGAUAAACAAUGAAAUCAAAUCCCAACGUGUUCAAAAUCUAUAAAGCUACCAAGAUUUGUU